RNAcentral lists this ribosomal RNA (733 nucleotides) under Domibacillus sp. Its description in RNAcentral is "bacterial SSU rRNA". It matches the Rfam family "Bacterial small subunit ribosomal RNA", at positions 70 to 787 of the family's 1533-position model. The record is from RNAcentral. Lineage: Bacteria; Bacillati; Bacillota; Bacilli; Caryophanales; Bacillaceae.
UUGACAGAGCUUGCUCUGUUCAAGUCAGCGGCGGACGGGUGAGUAACACGUGGGCAACCUGCCCUGCAGAUUGGGAUAACUCCGGGAAACCGGGGCUAAUACCGAAUAAUAUUGAAAACCUCAUGGUUUUCUUUUAAAAGGCGGCUUCGGCUGUCACUGCAGGAUGGGCCCGCGGCGCAUUAGCUAGUUGGUGAGGUAACGGCUCACCAAGGCAACGAUGCGUAGCCGACCUGAGAGGGUGAUCGGCCACACUGGGACUGAGACACGGCCCAGACUCCUACGGGAGGCAGCAGUAGGGAAUCUUCCGCAAUGGACGAAAGUCUGACGGAGCAACGCCGCGUGAGUGAAGAAGGUUUUCGGAUCGUAAAACUCUGUUGUCAGGGAAGAACAAGUACGGGAGUAACUGACCGUACCUUGACGGUACCUGGCCAGAAAGCCACGGCUAACUACGUGCCAGCAGCCGCGGUAAUACGUAGGUGGCAAGCGUUGUCCGGAAUUAUUGGGCGUAAAGCGCGCGCAGGCGGCCUUUUAAGUCUGAUGUGAAAGCCCCCGGCUCAACCGGGGAGGGUCAUUGGAAACUGGAAGGCUUGAGUGCAGAAGAGAAGAGCGGAAUUCCACGUGUAGCGGUGAAAUGCGUAGAGAUGUGGAGGAACACCAGUGGCGAAGGCGGCUCUUUGGUCUGUAACUGACGCUGAGGCGCGAAAGCGUGGGGAGCGAACAGGAUUAGAUACCC